GUUGAACGCUGGCGGCAGGCCUAACACAUGCAAGUCGAGCGGUAGAGAGAAGCUUGCUUCUCUUGAGAGCGGCGGACGGGUGAGUAAUGCCUAGGAAUCUGCCUGGUAGUGGGGGAUAACGUUCGGAAACGGACGCUAAUACCGCAUACGUCCUACGGGAGAAAGCAGGGGACCUUCGGGCCUUGCGCUAUCAGAUGAGCCUAGGUCGGAUUAGCUAGUUGGUGAGGUAAUGGCUCACCAAGGCGACGAUCCGUAACUGGUCUGAGAGGAUGAUCAGUCGCACUGGAACUGAGACACGGUCCAGAAUCCUACGGGAGGCAGCAGUGGGGAAUAUUGGACAAUGGGCGAAAGCCUGAUCCAGCCAUGCCGCGUGUGUGAAGAAGGUCUUCGGAUUGUAAAGCACUUUAAGUUGGGAGGAAGGGCAGUUACCUAAUACGUAAUUGUUUUGACGUUACCGACAGAAUAAGCACCGGCUAACUCUGUGCCAGCCGCCGCCGUAA
This 500-nucleotide ribosomal RNA is filed under the name uncultured bacterium. RNAcentral describes it as "partial 16S ribosomal RNA". It matches the Rfam family "Bacterial small subunit ribosomal RNA", at positions 28 to 523 of the family's 1533-position model. The record is from RNAcentral.